This 88-nucleotide transfer RNA is filed under the name Martinezella rhizogenes. RNAcentral's name for it is "Rhizobium rhizogenes tRNA-Ser". It matches the Rfam family "tRNA". Rfam says of the family: Transfer RNA (tRNA) molecules are approximately 80 nucleotides in length. Their secondary structure includes four short double-helical elements and three loops (D, anti-codon, and T loops). Further hydrogen bonds mediate the characteristic L-shaped molecular structure. tRNAs have two regions of fundamental functional importance: the anti-codon, which is responsible for specific mRNA codon recognition, and the 3' end, to which the tRNAs corresponding amino acid is attached (by aminoacyl-tRNA synthetases). tRNAs cope with the degeneracy of the genetic code in two manners: having more than one tRNA (with a specific anti-codon) for a particular amino acid; and 'wobble' base-pairing, i.e. permitting non-standard base-pairing at the 3rd anti-codon position. RNAcentral also lists the same sequence under 6 other names. The record is from RNAcentral. Lineage: Bacteria; Pseudomonadati; Pseudomonadota; Alphaproteobacteria; Hyphomicrobiales; Rhizobiaceae.
GGAUGGAUGGCCGAGCGGUUUAAGGCACUGGUCUUGAAAACCAGCGAACCGAAAGGUUCCGUGGGUUCGAAUCCCACUCCAUCCGCCA